AUAUUAUAUGAAAAGAACCGAACCUAAAACAUUUGGAAGCGAAGCACACACAGACACACACCCCUGCAGACGCUUGUGGCGCUAAUGGCGGCAGCCUGUGGCAGCGGAAUGACGAAACUCUGCUGCAGAGGAGACGAAAGAUCACUCCGAGAGGCAGGAUGUCUUCGAAUAAUUAAAAAAACUCACGUGACAAGAUUAAGCAAGUGCAUUAACUAAUAAACACAACGGAGAAAAAAUCCACGACUUGCACAAAUCCGGGUGAUAAAAAGAAAGAACAUCCGAUAGGCUUUGGUGAUGGGCACUCAUCGAUAGCCAGAUUACCAGUCGAAACAGAGUUGCAUUUACAAGAUAAUUGUAUUCAAAAAGCUAUUGCACCUUUAGAGACAUGACAUUAGGCCAACAAUAUACAUUUUAACGAGGUUAAUCAUUCCACUUAUAGCUGCUAAGUUUUUUGCGUAGAUGAUUGAUAUCAUGAUUAUCAUGAUUGAUAAUAUGAUGUUUUCCAACACACACAGUCAGCCAGCCAGCAAAAUUGGUUCUUAAAAUUGCAACAGUCAAUAAUCUCUGCAGCAGCGUUGCUCCCAGCUUACUGGACGUAUAUAUAUCUCUCGCUCUCACUGCAUGAUUUGAAACUAUUAAGCUAACUUAAACUAAAAUUAAAAAUUAGUCAACAUAAACAAUUUUAGGUUAUUUUUUCCAGUGUAACCGUAUUGUAUAUACCGUAUACGAAAAAAUACUAAAAUUGAAUAAAGCGUUUGGCUAUUUUGUAGCGCGCAUUGCCAACAGAGCAUAAAAUUACAGAGAAACUGAAUUCUGAUGAUAUUAUAAAGGAGCUUUCCAUAAUGAACGCAAGAAAAGUAAUAUAUUGAAUGCGAGCGCUGUGAAACACUGAUCCGACUCUACUGUUUCCGCACAAUUCUCGCUGGCCAACCUCUUCCCGUAACUUCCGUGAUCCCGAUCAUAUAGAGGCGCCUGCUUCUCCACCGAACGCAACAGCUUCAUAUUCGACAAACACUUUUAUUCCAGCACAGAACAGAGAAUCUCCCCCCGCCUAGAGCAUUUCCAUGAUGGGAACGAGAGUGAAAACAAAGGAAAGUCGUGCAGGGGAAUAUAUUAAAACGAGAGAGAACUCCUUUGACCCGAAGGAGCACAGCUAAAAGCAGUCGCUGCAUUAUAUAUAUUCAGUAUAUAGGUACAGAGAAUUCUGCAGAACAAAACUCUACGGUUUUACAGCGUUUACAAGUUGAUCAGCGCCCAGUGAUGGAUUCCUACAUCAUGUUUUGAGCGCUUAUGCAUACCUUACUAAGUCCCACUGCCUUCACACGAAAACGCUUCUUUUUGGUGCAAUUGCAAUGUUUACAAUGUUCACAACUUUUAUUUAAAUGAAUGCAAAAAAUCAAGGAUUGAAAAGAAUUAAGAAUUUGAUUUAACCACAAAUUGUCAGUUGAUAGUUAAUACACACGUCAUUUAUACUGUAUUGUACAUACUCGAGUGUCCAAAUAGACAGUCAUCUAUGUAUAUAAUUUCA
Long non-coding RNA from Drosophila pseudoobscura, 1528 nucleotides. RefSeq lists it as uncharacterized. The transcript has 3 exons. NCBI's taxonomy places the organism in Eukaryota, Metazoa, Arthropoda, Insecta, Diptera, Drosophilidae. The record is from RefSeq and is a predicted model, not a curated record.